Molecule: long non-coding RNA, 1519 nt
Organism: Passer domesticus (house sparrow)
Lineage: Eukaryota; Metazoa; Chordata; Aves; Passeriformes; Passeridae
Exons: 3
Source: RefSeq, a predicted model, not a curated record
GCUCCAUGUUCUCCUUGGUCUCUAUGGUCUCCAUGUGCUCCACAGUCUCUGUGUGUUCCAUGUUCUCUGUGUGCUCCAUGGUCUCCACACACCCCACAUGUUCCAUGUUCUCCAUGUGCUCCAUGGUCUCCACACACUCCACAUGUUCCAUGAGCUCCACGUUCUCCAUGGGCUCUGGCAGAGGGGGCAGGGCUGAGCCCCUGGGGCUCUGGGGUUUAUUUGAUGCCCCCUGAGCUGUCGGGGGGUGUGGGGCUGUAUCAAAGCCAGGCUUAGCGUGGGCUCAGACUGAGGGGGCCAGGCAGGGGUUAAGUGAAGCCCGAGGGCUCCAGCAGUUCGGGGCUGAGCUUUUCCCUGCCAGCAAAUCCCACUUCAGAAAGAUUCCCCCCACACAGCCAACUUUUGGCCCUGGAGAUGGGUUUGCCAUGAAAUCCCCAGGCCAGUGACAAGGAGCCCAAAUUCCCAGUUGCAGGACCAUUUUCCACUCCUAUUAGUGAUGGGAAACCUGGAAAAACUCUCCGGGCUUCCCAAAGAUGGGAACACCAGGAAAGGGAAGGGAAUCAAGCACCUGGAGGAUCACAAACAUCCCUUUAUCUCCGGGUUGUCUCAUGUGGAAUUGGCAGCUGGGCCGGCUCCAAACGCCUGUGCGAAGUUGGAAUUCCUGAAAGACUUUUCAAGGGGUGAGAGCUGCAUUCCACGGUCUGGCAGCACCCCCGGCCCCGCUCCUGGAGCGGGAGACAAAAGGGAAUGAGGCUUGGAGAGCGAGUUCCCAACGAGAUCCGUGGAUGUGACACCCCUGUGGCUGGAAAACCCCGCUCCUUUUCCUUUUAAAGGAGUUGGAGGAGCAAAAGAACGGGAAUCUAGCCCAGCUUUCCUGCAUAUUCAAGCAGCAUUUCUCCCUCUAGGCCACGGGCUCGUGCACAGGGAAGCAGAACAAAGGGAAAACAAAACUGCUGUGAACUGGGAUGAACUUCCAGCCAAAGUCAGGAGAAGGAAUUCCAGCUUUUGGGAGCUGCUUGGUGUGGUGUCCACUGGUCCUGACUCUUGGCCAGCUCAGCUUUACAUGGACUCGUAGUCAAUAAAUUCCUACCCUGAAUUCCUGGUGGGCUCUGGUGCCAGUUUGGAAAGGGUGGUGGAGCUGGUAGGACACUCCUAUGUCCAGCUGUUCCUGGCUUUGGAAUCCAGCUGGAAUAAAGUUUGUCAUCCACAUGCUGCCACCUGGGAUCGAGGUGAAGGUGCCUCCAACAGGGAAUGUUUGGUUUCUCCCAGGGCAAACACAGAAAUUCCAUACAAAUAGUGCUCCAGACAGUAAAAUUCUCAGGAAAUAGAGCUGGACUUAAUCCUUAACCAACAUUCCUGCUCGUGUGGAGAAGGAUGUCCCAAGGGAAUUUCCUGUAAUCUCAGUAAGAAACAACCCUGAGCUCCAGAGCUUGGUUUCCUACAUGGAUUUCUUGCCCUUCUGAGGCUUUGACGUUCAGGAGGUGCAAACUCUGCCUUCAUUUUCCUCCCUGAUGAAGCACCU